GCGGAUGUAGCUCAGUUGGUAGAGCGCAACCUUGCCAAGGUUGAGGUCGCGAGUUCGAAUCUCGUCAUCCGCU
This 73-nucleotide transfer RNA is filed under the name Saprospiraceae bacterium. RNAcentral describes it as "tRNA-Gly". It matches the Rfam family "tRNA". Rfam says of the family: Transfer RNA (tRNA) molecules are approximately 80 nucleotides in length. Their secondary structure includes four short double-helical elements and three loops (D, anti-codon, and T loops). Lineage: Bacteria; Pseudomonadati; Bacteroidota; Saprospiria; Saprospirales; Saprospiraceae. The record is from RNAcentral.